Molecule: long non-coding RNA, 383 nt
Filed under: Manihot esculenta (cassava)
Lineage: Eukaryota; Viridiplantae; Streptophyta; Magnoliopsida; Malpighiales; Euphorbiaceae
Description: long non-coding RNA (MESC_LNC001536)
Source: RNAcentral
GCAUGAUCCAUGCAUCAUGAAUGCCAUGAGAUAUAGUAGGUUGUUUGCAUUAGUAUUCACGAAUAUGUUGCAUUGCAUUUAUGAUGUUGAUGUUGAUGUGGAUUGGUUAUUGGAUGAUCCUUUAGUCCUCAUAUGAUAUGAUGAUGUUAUGGCAUGAUAUGGUAUGGAAGUCCAGGUUGUACCCAUUCUACGUCCCUGGCACGAUGUAAGAGGAAGUCCAGGUUGUACCCAUUCUACGUCCCUGGCACAGUUGGACUGUAUGAUAUGUUAUGUUAAGGGAAAGACCGGUUGACCCAUUUUACGUCCCGGCACAGUUGGACCUAUGUAGAGGACUAUUGGUGACAAUACCAUCCGAGAUGUGAUUUGUUGUGAUGUGUUGCAUU